This 492-nucleotide ribosomal RNA is filed under the name uncultured bacterium. Its description in RNAcentral is "partial 16S ribosomal RNA". It matches the Rfam family "Bacterial small subunit ribosomal RNA", at positions 29 to 507 of the family's 1533-position model. The record is from RNAcentral.
AGUGAACGCUGGCGGUAGGCCUAACACAUGCAAGUCGAACGGCAGCACAGUAAGAGCUUGCUCUUACGGGUGGCGAGUGGCGGACGGGUGAGGAAUACAUCGGAAUCUACUUUUUCGUGGGGGAUAACGUAGGGAAACUUACGCUAAUACCGCAUACGACCUACGGGUGAAAGCAGGGGAUCUUCGGACCUUGCGCGAUUGAAUGAGCCGAUGUCGGAUUAGCUAGUUGGCGGGGUAAAGGCCCACCAAGGCGACGAUCCGUAGCUGGUCUGAGAGGAUGAUCGGCCACACUGGAACUGAGACACGGUCCAGACUCCUACGGGAGGCAGCAGCGGGGAAUAUUGGACAAUGGGCGCAAGCCUGAUCCAGCCAUACCGCGUGGGUGAAGAAGGCCUUCGGGUUGUAAAGCCCUUUUGUUGGGAAAGAAAAGCAGCAGGUUAAUACCCCGCUGUUCUGACGGUACCCAAAGAAUAAGCACCGGCUAACUUCGUG